RNAcentral lists this ribosomal RNA (324 nucleotides) under uncultured eukaryote. RNAcentral describes it as "partial 18S ribosomal RNA". It matches the Rfam family "Eukaryotic small subunit ribosomal RNA", at positions 1470 to 1796 of the family's 1831-position model. The record is from RNAcentral.
CCCUUAGAUGUUCUGGGCCGCACGCGCGCUACACUGAUGCAUUCAACGAGCACCCGCUGGGCCGAGAGGUCCGGCUAAUCUUUGAACGUGCAUCGUGCUGGGGAUAGAUGAUUGCAAUUAUUCAUCUUCAACGAGGAAUUCCUAGUAAACGCAAGUCAUCAGCUUGCAUUGAUUACGUCCCCGCCCUUUGUACACACCGCCCGUCGCACCUACCGAUUGAAUGGUCCGGUGAAAUUCUCGGACGCGGACUUGCGAUGUUAAUUCGGAGCUUGACUGUGAAAGUUAAUUAAACCUUACCAUUUAGAGGAAGGUGAAGUCGUAACA